Molecule: ribosomal RNA, 253 nt
Filed under: uncultured bacterium
Lineage: Bacteria
Description: partial 16S ribosomal RNA
Rfam family: Bacterial small subunit ribosomal RNA
Source: RNAcentral
UACGAAGGGGGCUAGCGUUGCUCGGAAUUACUGGGCGUAAAGCGCACGUAGGCGGCUCUUUAAGUCAGGGGUGAAAUCCUGGAGCUCAACUCCAGAACUGCCUUUGAUACUGAAGAUCUUGAGUUCGGGAGAGGUGAGUGGAACUGCGAGUGUAGAGGUGAAAUUCGUAGAUAUUCGCAAGAACACCAGUGGCGAAGGCGGCUCACUGGCCCGAUACUGACGCUGAGGCACGAAAGCGUGGGGAGCAAACAAG